AAUGAACGUUGGCGGCGUGGAUUAGGCAUGCAAGUCGUGCGAGAAACCAAUUAAGCUUGCUAUGAGGUGGACAGCGGCGAAAGGGAGAGUAACGCGUGGUUACGUGCCCUCGGGACCGGGAUAGUGUCGGGAAACUGGCAGUAAUACCGGAUAACAUCUUUGGAUCAAAUGGUGUGAUUCCGCCCGAGGAUCGGACCGCGUACUAUUAGCUUGUUGGCGGGGUAACGGCCCACCAAGGCUGCGAUGGUUACCGGGUGUGAGAGCAUGGCCCGGCUCACUGGGACUGAGACACUGCCCAGACAUCUACGGAUGGCUGCAGUCGAGAAUCUUCGGCAAUGGACGAAAGUCUGACCGAGCGACGCCGCGUGCGGGAUGAAGGCCCUCGGGUUGUAAACCGCUGUCAGUUAGGAGGAAAUGCAUGAGGGUUCUCUCUCAUGUUUGACCGAUUUUCAGAGGAAGGACGGGCUAAGUUCGUG
RNAcentral lists this ribosomal RNA (476 nucleotides) under uncultured bacterium. RNAcentral describes it as "bacterial SSU rRNA". It matches the Rfam family "Bacterial small subunit ribosomal RNA", at positions 29 to 507 of the family's 1533-position model. The record is from RNAcentral.